UGUUUGUAGCUUCUAUUUGGGUUAACUUAUUUUGCGUUAACUUUCAAAAUGGUUUUUUGUUGGAAUGGGCAGGAUAGAUGCAUGGUGUAGAUGGUGGAGUUGCAUCCAGAGGGAUUUGAAGAAGCACGAGGCCAGUUUAACAGGUGAAAAUGGGUAGCUGUUGUGCUUAGCUUAUAUUCCCAGAGUUAAAGUACAAUAGAAACUAAUGUUUCUGCCAAAUGUUUAUGUAUAGAUUCAGCACAGACAUGUCUGGCUCAUUCUAAUUUGUAAAGAUUUACUUAUGCUAGUCAACUAAUUUGCUGUGAUUA
Juglans microcarpa x Juglans regia is the source of this 308-nucleotide long non-coding RNA. RefSeq lists it as uncharacterized. The record is from RefSeq and is a predicted model, not a curated record. NCBI's taxonomy places the organism in Eukaryota, Viridiplantae, Streptophyta, Magnoliopsida, Fagales, Juglandaceae. The transcript has 2 exons.